GUAGCUCUGAAUUUAUGCUUUGCAUGG
RNAcentral lists this non-coding RNA (27 nucleotides) under Cricetulus griseus (Chinese hamster). The record is from RNAcentral. Lineage: Eukaryota; Metazoa; Chordata; Mammalia; Rodentia; Cricetidae.